AUAUAUGCUUUUUGUGUGUGUUUGUGUUUACGUCGCAGAUAAAAUUUGCUACAGUGAAAAGUCCCCUGUUAUGAAAAGUUUCUUGCUGCAAACUUGAUUUCGUUGUAGAAGAGUUUCACUGGAAUGCAUAAAGAUUGU
This is a long non-coding RNA of Hippocampus comes (tiger tail seahorse), 138 nucleotides long. RefSeq lists it as uncharacterized. The record is from RefSeq and is a predicted model, not a curated record. Lineage: Eukaryota; Metazoa; Chordata; Actinopteri; Syngnathiformes; Syngnathidae. The transcript has 3 exons.